GCCUAACGGUUCUGCUCAGCUGCCUAACGGUUCUGCUCAGCUGCCUAACGGUUCUGCUCAGCUGCCUAACAGUUUUGCGCAGCCAGUUUCUCCCAGGAGAGGCUGGAGUGUCCAAAAGCUUGGCCCGACUGCGAUUUCUACUGGUGUCAGGGCGGGUGCGGGGACUGAAGAAGGGCGAGGGCGAGCGGCGGGGACUGGGAAGGGCGAGCAGCGAGAGGCGCGGGCUCUCUCUAGCAGGUGGCUGCAGCCAUGGAGAGGCUCUCUGCCGCCGCUGUCAAGGGCGAGACGGACCCGGAGCGCCUGAGCCCCUUCAGUCAGCUGGUCUACACCAACAACGACUCUUACGUGAUUCACCAUGGGGAUCUCAGGAAGAUCCACAAAGCUGCCUCCCGGGGCCAAGCCUGGAAGCUGGAGAGGAUGAUGAAGAAGACGACAAUGGACCUGAACAUAAGAGAUGCGAAGAAGAGGACUGCUCUACACUGGGCCUGUGCCAAUGGCCAUGCAGAAGUAGUAACACUUCUGGUAGAUAGAAAGUGCCAGCUUGACGUCCUUGAUGGUGAAAACAGGACACCUCUGAUGAAGGCUCUGCAAUGCCAGAGGGAGGCUUGUGCAAAUAUUCUCAUAGAUUCUGGUGCUGAUCCAAAUAUUGUAGAUGUGUAUGGCAACACAGCUGUCCAUUAUGCUGUUUAUAGUGAGAAUUUGUCAGUGGUGGCAAAAUUGCUGUCUUGUGGUGCAGACAUCGAAAUGAAGAACAAGGCUGGCCACACACCACUUUUACUGGCCAUAAGGAAAAGGAGUGAACAAAUUGUGGAAUUUUUACUGACAAAAAAUGCAAAUGCAAAUGCAGUUGAUAAGUUUAAAUGCAUUCAUCAACAACUUUUGGAAUAUAAACAAAAGAUAACUAAAAAUUCUCAAAAUAGCAAUCCAGAAGGAACAUCUGAAGGAACACCUGACGAGGCUGCACCCUUGGCGGAAAGAACACCUGACAUGGCUGAAAGCUUGGUGGAAAGAACACCUGACGAAUAGGAUACAGUGAAUUUCUCUUCAAAGAUUUUAGCCUGUAAACAUCCUUUAAAAUUCAAGAGGGGGAAGAUUAAGUACAAUGAGUUCUGAGUUCCUCAUCAAAGAACAAAUAUGUCAGUAUGUUCAGCUUCUCUGUACUUUGUUCUCCGUUUUAAAGUUUAACUUCCUCGUUCUUUAUGCCUCCUUGCCCCUAGUUUCAUUAAACAACCCCCUUCUAGCCUCUAACACCUGCUUUGUCUUUAGUCAUUCUUAGUCACCUGCUCUUGUCCUUAGUCAUCCUUAAACACCUGCUCUGUAACUGUCUUUCCCGCUGAAACUACUCACCCUGCUACUCCAGCUCAUACGCCUGCCCUCUUUGAAAUAGCCAAUCUGAAUUAGCUUAGAGUGUGCAGUCCAACCCUAUCCAAUAGGGAAAAGACACAACAGUAGGGACUUAGCUGCAUUAGGAAUAAGAACCCUUUCCCCUCCCUUGUCCGGUGUGAUCUUGCCAUUGCUCCAUCUGCAAGACCACUCUUCUAUAGAAGUAAAUUUGCCUUGCUGAAAAAACUUGUUGCUGGAGUGCUGAAUGUUCUUUGCGGCACCGAAAAUUUAUUUUCCACAAAUUUGGGGGCCCACCCAGCAUUCCCAUUCUCCUCUGGGGGAGGGUCCAGUCCUCUCCCGUGAGGAGGUGCACCCCGCUGCCUCGUUGCAGUGGCCAUAAAGAUAAGGAAUCAAGACUCAACUGGUGCGAUUAAUAAACCCGGGCCCUCAGCUACGUGGAAAGAAACAGGCCAGCAACUUUGGGGAAAGGAUCUUCACAUACCGUGGCGACCAGUGUGCUCUUGCCAUUGCUCCAUCCGCAAGACUCACACUUCUAUAGAAGUAAAUUUGCCUUGCUGGAGUGUUAACUUGUUACUGGAGUGCUAACUCUUCUUUGUGGCACCAAAAAGUUGUUUCCAACACAAAGCUGCACCCUUGGUGGAGGGAACAUCUGACGAAGUUCAAUGUUUGGGGAAAGCAAUAUCUGGAAAGAUUGAACAGUCAGCAGGAGGAAUACCUAGGAAAAUUACAAGGCCUAUGAAAGAAACAUCUGAGAAAUUUGCAUGGCCACAAGAAAGACCUACAAAGACCACAUGGGAGGAAAAAGAAACAUCUAUAAAGACUGAAUGCGUGGCAGGAGUAACAUCUAAUAAAAUUGAAGUUUAGGAAGAAGGAACAUCUAAGAUGAUUACAUGUCCUACAAAAAAACAGCUACAAAAGCAAGUACAAAUGGUAUACUGUUGAUGUGUUUGAUAUUUCUGGUACCCAAGAAGAAAUCUCUCAAGAUCUUACCUAACUUUUUGUAACUAAAGCAGCAUACAUACACAGGGAGUGGGAAAAUGUCUAGACUGAUUCAACUAGCUUAUCAAAAAUCUUGGAUGCAGUUCUUUCUUGUGAAAGAGCAAGGGAACUUAAAAAUAUCCCUGUGGGUCAGGCCCCGUGGCUCAUGCCUGUGAUCCCAUCACUUUGGGAGGUCAAGGCAGGCAGAUCAUGAGGUCAGGAGAUCAAGACCAUCCUGGCUAACACAGUGAAACCCCAUCUCUACCAAAAAUACAAAAAAAAUUAGCCGGGUGUGGUGGCGGGUGCCUGUAGUCCCAGCUACUCGGGAGGCUGAGGCAGGAGAAUGGCAUGAACCCGGGAGGUGGAGCUUGCAGUGAGUGGAGAUCGCACCACUGCACUCCAGCCUAGGCAACAGAGUGAGACUCAAAAAAAAAAAAAAAAGAAAAGAAAAAAAAAAUCCCUGUGAACAAUACAGCAAAAAUGAAACAAAUGAAAAAUAAGCUUCGUGUACUACAAAAGGAACUAUCAGAAGCAAAAGAAAUAAAAUCAUAGAGAAUCAAAAAGUUAAAAAAGAACAAGAGCUCUGAAGUGUGAGAUUGACUUUCAACCAAGAAGAAGAGAAGAGAAGAAAUGCCAAUAUAUUAAAUGAAAAAAUUAGGGAAGAAUUAGGAAAAAUCGAAGAGCAACAAAAGAAAAAGUUAGAAGUGAAGCAACUUGAACUGGCUCUCCGAAUAUACAAAAUAUGGAAUUGAAGACUAAGAAGUAAUUUGAAUCAGGUCAAUCGCUGGGUCCCACUCUGUCACCAAGGCUGGGGUGCAGUGGCACAAUCAUGGAUCACUGCAGCCUCAAACUCUGGGGCUCAAGCAGACCUCCUGUCUCAGCCUCCCAAGUAGCUGGGACCACAGGCCAUAUGAAAUGGAGGCAAUUUAUCAGUCUGAGUCUCCAGAACUCCUGAAUUUUUUGCCAAGGAAACUGGAGAAAGUCUCGUCCGGGUACCAACCAGGGAGAUUCUUUCUACAAAAGAAGGAACAGACACUGAAUGACUCAUUUCCCUUCCUCUAACAUGGAAGCAGAAUUAGAUACUCCUGCCAGCCUGACCCAAGUCUGUACAGGACAUCCUGAAAUGUCUUAAAGAUUCCCGGGUGAUUGUGAGAGGAUUCCUAGUGACCAUGGACUGAUGACCCUAUGUUGAUCCAGGCAGGAAAGACUCAAGCUGAUUCUAAGUAGAAAAUGGAACUGCCCUGGUAGAGCUCCAGAACCUGGAUCUAUGUGUGAUAUCACCUGUUCUGAUUAGCUAGCUCUUAGGUAAGAGAAA
Nomascus leucogenys (northern white-cheeked gibbon) is the source of this 3637-nucleotide RNA transcript. It is a transcript of the gene named putative ankyrin repeat domain-containing protein 30B-like, with no coding region annotated. The record is from RefSeq and is a predicted model, not a curated record. The transcript has 12 exons. NCBI's taxonomy places the organism in Eukaryota, Metazoa, Chordata, Mammalia, Primates, Hylobatidae.